UACGGGGGGAGCAAGCGUUGUUCGGAUUUACUGGGCGUAAAGCGCGUGUAGGCGGCUUGGCAAGUCCGCUGUGAAAACUCGAGGCUCAACCUCGAGAUGUCGGUGGAAACUGCCUGGCUAGAGUCCGGAAGAGGAGUGUGGAAUUCCUGGUGUAGCGGUGAAAUGCGCAGAUAUCAGGAGGAACACCAGUGGCGAAGGCGACUACCUGGCCUGUUUCUUGACGCUGAGGCGCGAAAGCUAGGGGAGCAAACGGG
This 254-nucleotide ribosomal RNA is filed under the name uncultured bacterium. RNAcentral's name for it is "partial 16S ribosomal RNA". It matches the Rfam family "Bacterial small subunit ribosomal RNA", at positions 524 to 776 of the family's 1533-position model. The record is from RNAcentral.